AGUGAGCAGGCGCGAAACCUCUACAAUGCACGAAAGUGUGAUAGGGGGAUCCCAAGUGCUCAUGCAUUGCAUGGGCUUUUGCCAAGAAUAAAUACCUUGGCGAAUAAGUGAUGGGCAAGACUGGUGCCAGCCGCCGCGGUAACACCAGCGUCACAAGUGGCAACCACAAUUAUUGGGCCUAAAGCGUCCGUAGCCUGCUUGUCAAAUUUCUUGUGAAAUCGUUAAUGUUAACUUAACGGCGAGCAAGAAACACUAGCAAGCUAGAGACCGGGAGGAGUCAGAGGUAUUUCUUGGGGAGCGGUAAAAUGUUAUAAUCCUUGAAAGACCACCUGUGGCGAAGGCGUCUGACUAGAACGGUUCUGACGGUGAGGGUCGAAAGCUAGGGUAGCGAUCCGGAUUAGAUACCCGAGUAGUCCUAGCUGUAAACGCUGCGAGCAAGGUGUUGCACAUUCCUCGUGAUUGUGCAGUAUCGAAACGAAGGUGUUAAGCUCGCCGCCUGGGUAGUAUGGCCGCAAGACUGAAACUUAAAGGAAUUGGCGGGGAGGCACUACAACGGGUGCGGCGUGCUGUUUAAUCUAAUUUUACACAGAGAAUCUCACUAGGGGCGACGGCCGGAUGAACUCAGUUGACGACUUUACCUGACAGCCGAGAGGAAGUGCAUGG
This 663-nucleotide ribosomal RNA is filed under the name uncultured archaeon. RNAcentral's name for it is "bacterial SSU rRNA". It matches the Rfam family "Archaeal small subunit ribosomal RNA", at positions 330 to 997 of the family's 1478-position model. The record is from RNAcentral.